RNAcentral lists this ribosomal RNA (590 nucleotides) under uncultured Rhizoscyphus. RNAcentral describes it as "eukaryotic LSU rRNA". The stretch from base 231 to 384 matches the Rfam family "5.8S ribosomal RNA". The record is from RNAcentral. Lineage: Eukaryota; Fungi; Ascomycota; Leotiomycetes; Helotiales; Helotiaceae.
CUUGGUCAUUUAGAGGAAGUAAAAGUCGUAACAAGGUUUCCGUAGGUGAACCUGCGGAAGGAUCAUUAAAGAAUCGCCCCGUUUUUUGAAAUGGGUUCUAUUCCAAACCGUGUCUAUAUACCUUUGUUGCUUUGGCAGGCCGUCCUUCGGGCGCGGCUCCGGUCGAGAGUGCCUGCCAGAGGACCCCAACUCUUUUGUUUAGUGAUGUCUGAGUACUAUAUAAUAGUUAAAACUUUCAACAACGGAUCUCUUGGUUCUGGCAUCGAUGAAGAACGCAGCGAAAUGCGAUAAGUAAUGUGAAUUGCAGAAUUCAGUGAAUCAUCGAAUCUUUGAACGCACAUUGCGCCCCUUGGUAUUCCGAGGGGCAUGCCUGUUCGAGCGUCAUUAUGACCACUCAAGCCUAGCUUGGUAUUGGGGUUCGCGGUCUCGCGGCUCUUAAAAUCAGUGGCGGUGCCGUCUGGCUUCUAAGCGUAGUAAUUUUCUCGCUAUAGGGUUCCGGCGGUUGCUUGCCAAAACCCCCCAUUUUUUACGGUUGACCUCGGAUCAGGUAGGGAUACCCGCUGAACUUAAGCAUAUCAAUAAGCGGAGGA